AUAGGAGUCCGACUCUCCUACUACCUUGAUAGGUAGAUCCUCUACCUCCCAAAACUUUGUGAAAAGUUUGUCCAAUGGAGCAUCGCGGACGUGGGAAAUUUGGGUGGAGAAAGAUGCAAUCUGGUCUGGAACAGCACUUGGCACUGGACCGGUAAGCACCCACCCAAAGAUGGUUUGCUGUCCGAGGAGGGAACCACAGAUGUCGGUCUGUGAGCCGCUUAACAGUAUGGAAACGUCUAUCUGUGAGCUCUCAUAAAAUGUAGGGUCUGCUAAAGGCAGGUUCGGCAAGUCUCGCAACGCGCUCUGCGGGAUCGGAUAUGAAUGGAGAUUGCCGGCUAUGUCUGGCAGGACGUAGGCCGUGGCGUUUAACUGUUCGCUGGGCGUAAUCAGGGAGCGAAUGGACAAAUCACAGAGCUUCUUGGAUUGAGCUGCUACAGUCUGAUUUAGGCCUGAAACCUGGGCCUGAAUGAGGCGGAAUGGCAACUGGAUGAUAUUAAAGAGACGUUCCGUAAUGAACGUCGCUUCGGAGCCCGAGUCGAUCAGAGCGCGGGCACGGAAAUUUGUCGACCGGUGGCAGAUGUUGAUUAUUGCCGCACCGAGAAGCACCGCUCUUGUUCCCGAAGCAAAAUAGUUCUGAACGUUGGGCGGAGCGACGGAAGAAGCGUUGUUGUGGAAGUCAGCUCGCUGGGAGCUGGAGUACCACGAUGCAGGAGCGUGUGGUGGCGGGCUCCACAAGUGAAGCAACUGUGGGCGCUUUGGCAUUCCCGGAGCUGAUGACCUCUAGCGAAACAGUUCAAGCACAGUUGCCUUUUUUUAAUGCAGCUGGCUCGUGCGUCCACGGUCAUUUGUAAGAAGUGCGGACAUAGUGGAAUCGGGUGAUUCUCUUUGGAACAGAGAUCACAUGUUCUUCUUUUCGGGCUCACUUGUGUCUGGAAGGAGUGAAAGUUCCUUGGCACGGGACUACCUACCAUGAGACCGGAACGGAUUGGAGUUGCUUCCGGAGGGCUGCGGAUUCAAGGAACCUUUGGACGAUGGUGGGGUCGGAUUGCCUUUGUGAGGAAUAGCGCUGAGUGAGGAAGGCGUUGGAUUCCAACCUCCUUCUUGUCUGUGACGGACGCUUCCCAAAAAGACCGGGUCAACUUCGGCAACUUGGAGGCACAAAUAGUAACGUGCAGUUGUGCAGUUGUCGGUGCAGACCUUGGAGUGAGCAAGGGCGGUGAGGACCCCUUGCAUCGUGCUUUGAAGCUCUUUUAAAGCUCGACUGGUCUCGGACUCGACGCGAGGCAAAAAGAGCAAAAUAUUUAUCUGGUUGGUCACCAGGAGCCGAUUAUUUUCAUAACGGUUUCGGAGGGCCGACCAUGCCGUCUCGAAACCAUCGUUUGUGAGCGGGGACUUCUCGACUAUGGCCUUCGGAUCGCCACUUGUCUUCGCGCUGAGGUGGUACAACUUCUCUACCGGAGACAGCCUAGAAUUAUUUAUGUAAAUUGCAGUAAAUAAAUCUCGAAAAGUAGGCCAACGGACGUAAUCUCCUGCAAAGACCUCGAUGUCGCAGGGAGGCAGUCGGCAGCCGCCCUGGUAGGUUUGCGGUGCAGACGGAUGGACUGCUGCUUGGGCCAGCUGAGCAUUGAGGUCAGCGAGGCACUGCUCAAAUACCCCAUAGCACUCGCCGUACUUCUCUCGGAUGUUUUCUUGGACCCUUGGGUCCUCGUCAACCAUCACUGCGGAGCAAGCUUUAUACUCCGCCUCGACAUCCGCCCACAUACUCAGAAUUUGUCCUCGGCGAACCUCGGAAAGAGAUGCGGAUGGAGCGGAAGUGAUGCGCGCUUCCAAAUGAGACAGCCGGCCAAUGGCGGCGGCUAAUUUUGCUCGUGCAGUAGUGGUGGCGGGUUGAGCCAUUGUGAUGGAAGGUCUCGAGCUCACGGGACUAUUACCGAAAGAGCUGGUUGGAUCGUCUUGGAUCCGAGCUGGCACCUUGGGAGUGACGGGAGACGGGAAGAGAACCGACUUGGUCCUUACAGCAGGGCUGCUACUGGCUGCUCUGGGAGAGACUGGCAACUUGAUCUUUUGAGUGGGGGUAGUUCCUGAGACGGAAGAGGUGCGUAGCCGACGUGGAGAAGUCGCAGCCAAAAGCCCUUUGCUGUCCUUGUCACCCGUUGGCAUACUACUCACACACGCAGAGGUUGGAUGCGAAGUCGGAUGCGGAAUCCGCGGAUUGGCGAAAGAAGAGAAAAAAAAACUAAGGCUGGGCUGGGAACCACACGAGAAGGCACUAAAUCCCUUCAACACACAAAAAGAACCCACUGCUGGAGGAAUGGAAAGGACAAAAUUUUUUAAUACCAACUCGAAUUAUUUGUGGCCGCUCUGGAUCGAGGUUCCCAAACAAUGAGUGGAUCAAAUUGAUACACGCCGAGGAGAGGAACGGUCACACUGGCUGUGGCAAUAUUUGAAAAAAAAUAUAUUGUUAGUGCGGCUUUCCUCCGUUUACCCUUUUGACGGACCUUUGCAGUGGGCAACUAAUCUUCCUUAUCUAGUGCGGAUGGAUUGAGGACGGAAUUGGUCGAUUUCUUGCUCCCCUUUUUAUGCCGUGGAGGUGGUAGGGCCGAUGGGAUACACGAGCACGAGGAUCGGAGCCAAGAAAUUUACUGCUACUGGUGUGGCGGAGACUAUCGGAACGAAUAUGAAAUAAAAACUAUAAUUCCUUAUACUGUCAUCUGUUAGUGGAAGCGGAACCAACGUAGGACUAUGUAUUUUUGGAUAAUUCGGCAGCUUGAAUUUAUUUCUUGUCCUAAAUUUGGUGUUCGUGAUACCGAUAGUUUUUCUUAAAUUUUGUCACCUCUAAUUUCCCUCGGACAUACAAUUCGACAAUUGGCUCGAAAAAAUGCGAAAUCGCUGCGGAAAUGCGCUGUGCCUGGGUUGAGGAUAAUUUGUUACGGAAUUGGAGAUAAUAUCAUGUAUUGUGGCGACCAAAGUUAUUGCUGGAACGCGUAAACUGCUUGGAAUCGCAGAUUUGUAUUGUUAAAUAUAUAGACUGAUCUAUUGCAGCCAACUAUGGAAAUAUGUGCAUAUAGCUGUCGGAAUAAAAACACUUAAUAAU
Molecule: long non-coding RNA, 3094 nt
Organism: Drosophila obscura
Lineage: Eukaryota; Metazoa; Arthropoda; Insecta; Diptera; Drosophilidae
Exons: 2
Source: RefSeq, a predicted model, not a curated record